GACGAACGCUGGCGGCGUGCCUAAUACAUGCAAGUCGAACGCUGAAGGAGGAGCUUGCUUCUCUGGAUGAGUUGCGAACGGGUGAGUAACGCGUAGGUAACCUGCCUGGUAGCGUGGGAUAACUAUUGGAAACGAUAGCUAAUACCGCAUAAUAGUAGAUGUUGCAUGACAUUUGCUUAAAAGGUGCAAUUGCAUCACUACCAGAUGGACCUUCGUUGUAUUAGCUAGUUGGUGUGGUAACGGCUCACCAAGGCAACGAUACAUAGCCGAACUGAGAGGGUGGUCGGCCACACUGGGACUGAGACACGGCCCAGACUCCUACGGGAGGCAGCAGGAGGGAAACUUCGGCAAUGGACGGAAGUCUGACCGAGCAACGCCGCGUGAGUGAAGAAGGGUUUCGGAUCGUAAAGCUCGGUUGUAAGAGAAGAACGAGUGUGAGAGUGGAAAGUUCACACUGUGACGGUAGCUUACAAGAAAGGGACGGCUAACUACGUG
RNAcentral lists this ribosomal RNA (495 nucleotides) under uncultured bacterium. RNAcentral's name for it is "partial 16S ribosomal RNA". It matches the Rfam family "Bacterial small subunit ribosomal RNA", at positions 28 to 507 of the family's 1533-position model. The record is from RNAcentral.